GCGAGUAUUGGCCCUCACGGGUCUAAUCCACCAUAAACACCUUUGUGAACCAGUCAGGGGGACUCGGCCGUGAAAGCCCAGGCGAUUAGCGGAAGGGCCCUCCUUUGCAAACCCGUUUAGAAGUCUUUGAAAGUACUUUGUAUAAUCUAGUA
RNAcentral lists this unclassified non-coding RNA (152 nucleotides) under soil metagenome. RNAcentral's name for it is "partial internal transcribed spacer 1". The record is from RNAcentral.